RNAcentral lists this microRNA (21 nucleotides) under Homo sapiens (human). Its description in RNAcentral is "hsa-miR-6834-5p". The record is from miRBase by way of RNAcentral. Lineage: Eukaryota; Metazoa; Chordata; Mammalia; Primates; Hominidae.
GUGAGGGACUGGGAUUUGUGG